RNAcentral lists this ribosomal RNA (1441 nucleotides) under Klebsiella pneumoniae subsp. pneumoniae. RNAcentral describes it as "bacterial SSU rRNA". It matches the Rfam family "Bacterial small subunit ribosomal RNA". The record is from RNAcentral. Lineage: Bacteria; Pseudomonadati; Pseudomonadota; Gammaproteobacteria; Enterobacterales; Enterobacteriaceae.
UCUCAGAUUGAACGCUGGCGGCAGGCCUAACACAUGCAAGUCGAGCGGUAGCACAGAGAGCUUGCUCUCGGGUGACGAGCGGCGGACGGGUGAGUAAUGUCUGGGAAACUGCUGAUGGAGGGGGAUAACUACUGGAAACGGUAGCUAAUACCGCAUAACGUCGCAAGACCAAAGUGGGGGACCUUCGGGCCUCAUGCCAUCAGAUGUGCCCAGAUGGGAUUAGCUAGUAGGUGGGGUAACGGCUCACCUAGGCGACGAUCCCUAGCUGGUCUGAGAGGAUGACCAGCCACACUGGAACUGAGACACGGUCCAGACUCCUACGGGAGGCAGCAGUGGGGAAUAUUGCACAAUGGGCGCAAGCCUGAUGCAGCCAUGCCGCGUGUGUGAAGAAGGCCUUCGGGUUGUAAAGCACUUUCAGCGGGGAGGAAGGCGGUGAGGUUAAUAACCUCAUCGAUUGACGUUACCCGCAGAAGAAGCACCGGCUAACUCCGUGCCAGCAGCCGCGGUAAUACGGAGGGUGCAAGCGUUAAUCGGAAUUACUGGGCGUAAAGCGCACGCAGGCGGUCUGUCAAGUCGGAUGUGAAAUCCCCGGGCUCAACCUGGGAACUGCAUUCGAAACUGGCAGGCUAGAGUCUUGUAGAGGGGGGUAGAAUUCCAGGUGUAGCGGUGAAAUGCGUAGAGAUCUGGAGGAAUACCGGUGGCGAAGGCGGCCCCCUGGACAAAGACUGACGCUCAGGUGCGAAAGCGUGGGGAGCAAACAGGAUUAGAUACCCUGGUAGUCCACGCCGUAAACGAUGUCGAUUUGGAGGUUGUGCCCUUGAGGCGUGGCUUCCGGAGCUAACGCGUUAAAUCGACCGCCUGGGGAGUACGGCCGCAAGGUUAAAACUCAAAUGAAUUGACGGGGGCCCGCACAAGCGGUGGAGCAUGUGGUUUAAUUCGAUGCAACGCGAAGAACCUUACCUGGUCUUGACAUCCACAGAACUUUCCAGAGAUGGAUUGGUGCCUUCGGGAACUGUGAGACAGGUGCUGCAUGGCUGUCGUCAGCUCGUGUUGUGAAAUGUUGGGUUAAGUCCCGCAACGAGCGCAACCCUUAUCCUUUGUUGCCAGCGGUCCGGCCGGGAACUCAAAGGAGACUGCCAGUGAUAAACUGGAGGAAGGUGGGGAUGACGUCAAGUCAUCAUGGCCCUUACGACCAGGGCUACACACGUGCUACAAUGGCAUAUACAAAGAGAAGCGACCUCGCGAGAGCAAGCGGACCUCAUAAAGUAUGUCGUAGUCCGGAUUGGAGUCUGCAACUCGACUCCAUGAAGUCGGAAUCGCUAGUAAUCGUAGAUCAGAAUGCUACGGUGAAUACGUUCCCGGGCCUUGUACACACCGCCCGUCACACCAUGGGAGUGGGUUGCAAAAGAAGUAGGUAGCUUAACCUUCGGGAGGGCGCUUA